CACCGACUCGCUGUCUCUCUCAGUUCCCAACUUUCUGUGGCCCAGAUGUGAAGCUCCCCUCUCCACGUUAAUAAAUGAAGAAAUGGGAGAGCUAGGACUGGAUACAUUGCGUUACCCAACCAGCUUAAUUUGUGGGGAGACCUUAGAUUUGGAAGAUAUUACAGAACGAGGCUCCUCAGGAGACAAAUCUCAGUCAUGAGAACAAAUGUUAUGUUCCAGGGGUCUAGUCCCACUCUGAUGAACCAGGUACAUCAUCACUGUGCAACCAACAACACUAAACUUCCUGUACCUGACUUGAGCAAUACUGCAGCAGUAGAUGACUCUCUUGGCUGGCUUCAGAAUGAGUUGAUCUGAGGCUUUCCAUUUAAUGUAAUCAAAUGUCUCUGGAAUGAUCGUACAGUUUAUGGAUUGUGAUCUGGAAAGGGUCAAUGUAGUAUCACAUUUUGGCAGAUGAAUUUCCUAUCCCCAUGGUGGAAAGUGGAAUUUGGAUACUAUUGAUAGAUACUUCAAUGAUAAUGAAAGCACCUUUUGCAAAUUAUGCCAUAACAUAUCUGAAAUAUUACCCAUCAUGCCUCUUCCUUAGGAAAUAACUAUGACUGUAAACUGUUUGCAUUUUUGUUUUUCUUCCCGAGUUACUUCUACCUUCUGAAUCCAAUUCUCCCUGUGCAACAAGAAAACUGUUUGGAUCUGCACACAUACAUUGUAUCUAGGAUAUACUAGGACAUAGGACUGCUUGCCAUCUAGGGGAGGGGGUGGAGGGUGGGAGGGAAAAAUCGGAACAGAAGUGAGUGCAAGGGAUAAUGUUGUAAAAAAAAAAAAAAAUUACCCAGGCAUGGAUUCUGUCAAUAAAAAGUUACUAUAAUAAAAAAAAAAAAAAAAAGGAAAUAACUAUGCCAGCAAGUUUUCUCAACUCUGCAAUUCCCAAGGUCUAUGAAUGGGAAGUAUACUUAUUUGACAGACACACUCCUCUCAGGAAAGAAAUUAAAUUUCAUAUUCUAUGAUACUACUAUUGAGUCAAAUUUAUAAAAUAUAAGAGCCAUUCUUCAAUUGAUAAAUAAAAAUUCCCCAUAUUUUUGAGAAAGUAGGCCUUCAUUAGAGAAACUUGCUUCAGAAUUCUUUUUAUAUCUAUUAUUUGUUAACUAUAUUUGCCCAAUUUUCUCUCUUCUUUUAAUCUAUCUCUCCUCAAAAGUGUUUUGCUUCUGACUACCAUCUACCUUGAUAUACUUUUUCUGUCACCUUCCUCACUUCCCUUAACCCCUUCCUCUCCUACUUUCCUGCAGGGUGAGAUUUAAUUAUUUUUCAUGGCACUUUAGUUUUUUUUUUAAUAUUUAUUUAUUUAAAAUUAAAUAUAAAAUAAGAAAAAACAAAAUAGAAAAAGACAGAAAAGGAAAAUAAAUAAACUAAAACAAAACAUUGUCAUAUGGCCUGCAGAACAUCAGGGAGAAUUCAAAAUAGGUAACAAUAAAUUUCCCUUUCAAG
This 1479-nucleotide long non-coding RNA is filed under the name Sarcophilus harrisii (Tasmanian devil). Its description in RNAcentral is "lncRNA (ENSSHAG00000020981.1)". The record is from RNAcentral. Lineage: Eukaryota; Metazoa; Chordata; Mammalia; Dasyuromorphia; Dasyuridae.